Molecule: ribosomal RNA, 484 nt
Filed under: uncultured bacterium
Lineage: Bacteria
Description: partial 16S ribosomal RNA
Rfam family: Bacterial small subunit ribosomal RNA
Source: RNAcentral
AUUGAACGCUGGCGGCAGGCCUAACACAUGCAAGUCGAGCGGAUGAAGGGAGCUUGCUCCUGGAUUCAGCGGCGGACGGGUGAGUAAUGCCUAGGAAUCUGCCUGGUAGUGGGGGAUAACGUCCGGAAACGGGCGCUAAUACCGCAUACGUCCUGAGGGAGAAAGUGGGGGAGCUUCGGACCUCACGCUAUCAGAUGAGCCGAUGUCGGAUUAGCUAGUUGGUGGGGUAAAGGCCUACCAAGGCGACGAUCCGUAACUGGUCUGAGAGGAUGAUCAGUCACACUGGAACUGAGACACGGUCCAGACUCCUACGGGAGGCAGCAGUGGGGAAUAUUGGACAAUGGGCGAAAGCCUGAUCCAGCCAUGCCGCGUGUGUGAAGAAGGUCUUCGGAUUGUAAAGCACUUUAAGUUGGGAGGAAGGGCAGUAAGUUAAUACCUUGCUGUUUUGACGUUACCAACAGAAUAAGCACCGGCUAACUUCGUG